Equus quagga is the source of this 8063-nucleotide long non-coding RNA. RefSeq lists it as uncharacterized. NCBI's taxonomy places the organism in Eukaryota, Metazoa, Chordata, Mammalia, Perissodactyla, Equidae. The transcript is spliced from 5 exons. The record is from RefSeq and is a predicted model, not a curated record.
ACGGGAACAUUAUAACAUUACAGUGUCAGCCAUACAGUGUACAGCUAACAGUGUUAGCUGUUAUGGUCAUGAUGCUAAAUGCUCCCCAGAUGCCUUGUCUGAAGUAGCUUUUAGAAGGCUGGGAUUAAUAACGGAGAACUCAGUGAAGAAGACUAUUCUCUCUUCACUACAAUAUUUCAAAGCCCCACCCCUGCCUUGAGUCAAAAUCCAAUUUUUAAAAAUCCUAUUAAAUGGCUAAUGCUUUUGGGGGGGAGCCCUCUCCUAAAUUUGAAACACACUUUACUCAGUACAUGCCACUUUUUCCCAGCUUUCUGGGGAAGCAGGUUCCAAGAUGUCAUGACCCAGGUCUGGAGCAUCGAUGCUGACCGUCCGGCCAGGAACCAUCCAUACAAACGCACGUGGUAAUUCACGUUGGUGACAGUGAGCCAGCACAGAUGCCGUCGCUGCCAUGAAGUUCGAUCUCCUCCCAGGGCUGUCUCAGCCGAGUCACCAGGCCCGUGGCUGUCCUGGGAUCACCACCCUGCAUUGUGUCCGCUCAUGCUAUUUGCCUCUCCAGCUAGACUAUGCGUUUCUCCAGGGCUGGAACGAGUGAUGUGCUGGUAAAUGUUCAACAACCACCGCUCAAAAAAACAACAAAAAAGAAAACAUCCUGAUUUGUAGUGUCUGCCAAUUCCCUUGAUAUAAAUACUCCCUCUCUGGCCAAUUUCAAGCAACCAACAUGAAGUCACUGACAGUGGAAUUUCUGGAAAGAGACUCGCAAAGGCUCCAUCAGGUACUCCUUCCAUCAUACGGAUACGAUCGACAACAGAUGCCAAGAACCUCCAGAGCAGAGAUAACAGUAAAGUGGGGUAAAACAUUAGGAUAAGUUCUGAGUAUUUAUUACCCGCAUCUGGAAUAUGACUGACUUAACGGACAAGCCAGCUCCAGAGCACCACGGCUGGCACCGAGUCUUGUUCAACUUUAUACCCCAGCAUGCACCACUGCUCAAGCAACACGCAUCUCCAACAGCCCAGUUCACACUUGAUGCCUGUGACACUGUGCCAGGUCCUCUGCUCCCAGCCUCUCCCAGUGCAUCCUUUCCGCAGACUGAUGCGGUCACUCUGAUUAUCAGCCCCAUUUUACAGAUGAGAAAACUGAGGCUCCAAACAGACAAGCAGCUGGCUCACGGUCAUAACAGAAUGCCUGCGGACAGUGCCGACUGUUUGUCACACUCUGUUUGCUGACCAAUCCUGGCUCGCCCACGCAGCAGCUCUCCAAAACGUCACGCAGGACGGACUGACAGCCCCACGUCAGGCAGACUCACUCAGCAAGACACCCGCCCACAGGACAGCAGCCGACCCCAAAGGCCAGGGGUGCCCCAGGCUCUGCUCUUCCUGAGAAGCACAAAGGAGAACUCAAAAUGUGAACGAGGCCAAGGGCAGAUCAGAGCCGUACCCACAAACCACCCAGAAAUUCCAGGAAUGAAGCCGUGGCUGGAAGGACGUGGUGGAGGAGGACACCCCGGCACGUCUUGGACAGAUCCCAGGACCGGGCAGACCCCCCCGGGAGAGCGUCUGGGUGAGCACCAGACGGGAUGGCGCCCCUCCUGCACUGGAUGCAGUCGGCUUUCCCUCAGCCCUUCUGGACAGGGGAGGAAACAGCCCCGUUCCUUCCCUCACUGGCCACUCUGCCCUCAGCCCUGGGUCCCCUACAACUGAGGACAGCGGGCCAACAGUCCACUUGGCUUAACAGAAACGUCAGCCCCACGGGCGCCUUCUUUCCUCCUGUCCCCUAGGCAAAAGAUGCAUCCUUAUAGGAUAUAAGGGACAGCAAGGCUGGGGGCGAAACUGGAUAAAUCCAAUAUACAAAACCCAUUCGAUUUAAUACCAUGCCGAGAGCAUAGGCACACAAUCCUGGAGAAAAAUAGAAGAAAAUGCAGUCAACAAACACGUAUUCUACUUUGUGCAAAAAAAGAACUAAAACCCAGGUGUGUUCACUACAAGCCAAGGUAAUAUAUAAGAGACUGGAUAAUGAAUUAAUACAGUCUUAAAAUAGCCGGUCCCUCACUCCUGGGGCCCUUCCUCCCUUCUUGCAGAUGUGUGGGUGUUUCCUUGGAAAUGAUGCUCCCAGCAAAGCUUUAGAUAGACAGCAGGAAACCUCCAUCUCCGAAGGACAAGCAGCCAAGGGCUCCCAGAAGGCAGGUGGAAAGGCGGGGACGUUGGGUCAAAGCCGGGUUCGAAUCCUGGCUCCCCCACGUGGAGCUGUGUGCUGCCCAGAAGGUCCCUCACCCUCUCUGAGUCUGCAGCUCCUCACAGGCACCGGGAGGCCCUGAACUGCUCCCCAGGCUGGCAGAGGGAGGGUGUGAAGAUCGCAUAAAUAGCGGGAUAAAGAGCCUGGCGGCAGAGUCCGGGACUUCCCGGUGCAUAAUGACCGUUCUUGCGCUUCUCCCGGGUGAACUCAGGCUUCCCCGAUCAUCUCUGCUCCAGGCUGCAUGACCGGCAGCACCCAGACCAGCCUCCUGCCUCACACGAGUGAUUCACCGGUAUCGGGUGGCAUCUGCCAGGGUGAGUCACGGCCAUGGUUCUGAACCAAGCUCAAAGCCACACGGCUCAGGAGUUAUCCAGCACCAGGCUAUAGGAUCUUCACCCUGCUUGGGGGGGAACUCCUCAGGGCAAACCCUCGGUGGCCAUGGAGUCCUUGGGAUACGCAAGUGAACGAGACCGUCCACACCUGGGAGCGAGGAGGCACCAACCACAGCAAACUGAUAAAUACAAAAGGCUCGAGGGCUCCAAUCACCACCUCGCCGGCGUCCCCCGCGUCGAGCAGCGGCGAUGGCAGCAGCAGCACGGGCACAGUGGGUACAGCGGACGCAGCUGGCGCAGCGGAUACAGGAGGCAGAGAGAGCCCGCCGCGGGAUGCAGGACAACCCGGCCGCAGAGGGAUGCAGUGGGUCUGGGGGCCCCGCGCGCCGCCUCUUGUAGGCUGCCCGGAGCCCGGAGGCCACGCCCCCUCGGCGGCCAGCGAUGCUGAUAGGGCCGUGCCGUCAUGGCCCCGCCCCCUCCGUCCUCCGGCCCCGCCCUGCCCUGUCCCCUCCCAGGCCCCGCCCUUCCCGGGCUCGCCCCGCCCAGGCCCCGCCCCCUCAUGCUCGCCCCGCCCCGGCCCCGCCUCCCUCAGGCUCGCCCCGCCCCGGCCCCGCCUCCCUCAGGCUCGCCCCGCCCCGCGAGCCCGGUGGACCUGGGGCGGCGCGGGUGCCCGCGGUCCCGAGGCCGCGCGAGGAGGGCGGGGGCGCCCGCGGCCUAAGAGCUCAGCUUGAGAAGAGGACGUGCUCAGUUUCCACGUCGUGGCAAUAAAAGUAUCGCUUACCCCGCGCCCGGAGUGGUACCAAGCACUUUCCACCAGGGGUUCACAAAUUUACCGAAUCGCGUCUCUCUGCGGCUCAGCUGGAAAAUGGGAAUAGAGAGGCGACCUCCUGGGACUGCAGCAAAUGCCAUCGGGAAGGGCGUGGGCUCCGUAAACCGAGGCGCGGAACACACGCUUGCUAAAUUUAUUCCCAUCCUCUACACGUGGGGUGACAACUUCACUCUUGCCGCCCAGACACACACACACACACACACACACACACACACACUAUUCCCAACGUGCAGAUGAAGAAAUAAGACUCGGGGAUGUUCCUGGCUGAGGCAGUUUUGAAGCAUGGUUCUCAACUCAAGAUUCAUUCAUUCAAUACUUAUUAAAAGUACCUACUGUGUGUCGGGCUCUGUUCCAAGCAUUGGGGCAUUCAGUGGUGAACACGAUGGACUGUUCCAGAACAGUGGUCCUCGGUUUGACAAGGGCAAACCCAAAGGGAGAAGAGACCUGCAUUAUUAACAGACGCCUCUCAAGCACCUGGCCCCACACACAGCAUCCCGUCAAAUCCACCGCCACCCAACAACCGCCUGAGGCUGGUGCUGUUAUCAGGAAACUGGGCACAGAGAGUGUCAGUAGCUUUCCCGAGGCCACACAGCUCCUGAAUGGAGGAACUGGGAUCUGAACUCAUGCUCUCGCCCACUUGGCUGCUAGCUUGUGUAGCAGUAAAGCUCGGGUACAGGGGAGUGGGAUAAACGGGGUCCCCACCCAGGCACAGGGGAAGGGAAGGCACGCAGGAUCCGAUCCCCCGUGUGCUCAGUAUUUGGGUGGGGGAGGUUGAUAAAGAAAGGUCCACAGCUCUGCUGACCGGGGCCUCCAGCUCCUACCGACGCUUUUGGUGGCAACUCUGCAGGCUCCUUACUGUGCAGGAUGGCUCCUCCCAGCCGGCUGUUCCAGGGGCACCGUUGGCAGAGCUGCAACCUGAGGGCACCUCUCUACAAUGUCGUCCCCCGGCCGAGCUACCAACUCCCGUCCAGCCAGGCAGCUACUGCCCGAACACCCGGCACACCACAGGACCUUCCGCCCCUCACCCCCUUCUCUCCCUCAGUUUCUCGUUUCCUCUCCCUCUGGUCAUCUGCCCAUGUGUCCUGCUGAGUCUCCCUGGCCUGGCCUCUGGCCGUGCCCACCGCUACCCGUUGACUUCAGCAGGCACCCACAUGUGCCGGGCGCUGGGCACAGGGCUCCACCGGCAUUGGCCUGUGAACUGCUCACAACCCAGUGAUGGGAGGGGUUCUCGUCGGCCUUGUUUCAUAGAUGGGGAAACUGAGGCUCGAGUAGGUGAAGGCACUUGCCCAGGGUCGCUUGGCUAUUGAGUGGUGGCAUUGGGACUCCAACUCAGGCAGUCCAGGGCCACAGCCCGUGACAUUGGCUUCUAAACCAGAUGGCCUGAGGGGACUGGGGUGUUUGGGUUUGCUGCAGUGUGAACCCAGUGGGGGUUUCUGAGCUAUUUCAUUUCCUUUUAAUGUCUCAGUCAGGCUAACAUGUCUCAGAUGGGACGUCAUGCUUGCUAUUGCUACGUAACAAAUGACCCCAAAAAGUAGUGGCUUAAAACAAGCACUGUACUUUGCUCAGUACUUUGAAGGGGAGGAACCUGGUCCAGGCUGGCUGGAUGGCUCUUCCUUGGGGGGUCUGUCAUGUGGCUGCCGUCAGAUGCUGGCCGGGCUGCAGACACCCGAAGGUCACCUGGGCUGGACAUCCAUGAUGGUUCACCCACGUGGCGGGAGCUCAGCGGGGGCCGCAGACUGAAGGGCCUCCGUGUGGCGUCCCCAGGAAGGCUCUCCUGAGCAAGCCUCCCAAGAGAACCAGGCGGAAGGUGCAUGACCUUCUAUGACCUGCCAUUGGAAGUCAUAGAACGCCACUUCCGCCAUACUCUUGGUCGAAUCAUGGAGCCUGCCGAGGGUCAAGGAGAGAGGAUAUCGAGCAUAUUUCUCAAUAGGUGGCGAUCAAAGAAUGUGCAGACGUGUUUUAAAUCCUCUCCAGGUUUUAAAACAGAUAAGAUAUAUGAAAACACAUAGCCCAGCGCCUGGCACCAAGCAGACACUCAAUAAAAGAUGCGUCGUCCUUCCAGGGAGCUAACCAGAUGGUCCAGCAGAAGGAGCACCAUCUUUGCAUCUCAACGGAUGAGUUUGAAACUUCACUCCAUCAAGCAGCAGCUGUGUGCCUUUGCUCCAGUCCCCCGACCUCUCUGAGCUACAACUGCCUCCCAGGUGGGGUUAUUCAAGUGGCAGACGGAGUCCGUAGCUUGCUGCUUGGUGCCAUCUGGAACCAGUGGGGCUGGCUUCCAGUCCCGGCUCCUCCACUUCCAAGCUCUUGGCCUUGUGUUCAGCUCCCCAUCUGUAAAAUGGGGGUGAUGAUGAUGGCAUCUCCCUCCCUCAGGGAGAGAUGCACGGAAAAUAAUUAGAACAGGCCAGGCACAUGGCAAGUAUUCGCUAAUGUUAUUGUUAUCAGGGCCAACGAAGUAAAAAGGGAGACAGAAAAGUUUAAUUUUGAUCAACUUUUCCAUCGUUGUGCAAUCUUAGAAUCUAACUUCCAAAAAAUAACCUUUGAAUUUGAAUAAGAUGGUGUGUCAUGGGCAAAGUGGGAUCCUGAGAGGGCAUCCAGGAGGAUGGGAAAGGACCAAGAUGCACCUACGAGUUUUCCUGGGAAGGGACUGGCCGCUGAUGUCCUUAGAAAUCCCAGCAAAGGGUCCUGUUUGCCACCCAGGCAGGAGUUAAGUCAUGGAGAGUUUGAGACGGAGAAGGUCCUUCUGGUCAUAAUGAGGCCCGACCCAGAAAAAGGAGCACGUGGGCCAGGUCGGGACACCCUGGAGAGACUCCAGCCCCCUCUCACUCACUCGCUCGCUCAGAACCAAGUUGUUUUCAUUGGAGUCUCCUGAGCUGGACAUCAAGAGCCAAGACUGGGGAGUUCCAGUUUCUCGUUUGUUCCCACCACACCCAUCCAGCGGCUGCAGAAUGUCACUGAGACUCAGCCUGGCAGCAAAGACCACUAACUACUGGAGUCAGGAGCCCUGGAGGGACCGUCCUGUGAUGGGCAUGGCUUAGACAGGGGCGCCAAAAGGACGGGAAAGAUGGCGACCGCCCUGAGUGGACAGGUGCUAGCUGUGCGGCCCUCAGGCUCUGAGGGGCAUGAGUUUGCUGGCCUUGGAGAGGAAGGGUACAAGCGUGAGUUCCACAUCUUACCUUGGCAGGACUUCUUUGGGGCAGUGCAGGCCCUGCCCGUGGGGAGAUCUGCGGCAAGGUCUUGACCGAUGGAAGUUGCGAGUAACAGAAACCCACUCAAGUUAGCUUAAGCGGAGAGGGGGCUUCUCGGUAGGAUACUGGACUAUUGUGGACCCCAUGGACAGCCAGAACCCUCAAAGAACUAGAAUUAGUCCUGAAAGGGGGUCAGGCACCCUGGCAGUACUUUCUGUGUAUUUCGCACCUCUCCGUAUCCUUCUCCCUCUGCAGCCGGGCCUCGCCCAUUCCCUGUGGACAUGACCACCCCGCCAGCACCGGGGUUCACAUCUCCCUUGUUCCGGGGACCAGCUCAGGCCGUGCCCAGCCACCUCCCAGUUCUAACUCCAUAGAGAGAGAAUCUAAUUGGCCCUGUUGGGAACAGAUGUCACCCCUGGUCCAAUCAAGGGAGACCAAGGGGACAUCGCCAGGUACCAUGAACAUGACAGCAAGGCCCUGUGAGCUGGGUGGGCACCCCCCAAGGCCAGAUGGAUGGAAAUGAGCCACAACAAAGACUCUGUGGAGGCAGCCAGAAAAAGGCUCAGAAUCUAGUGAGACAAGAGCUUGGGGUAAAAACUCCAUCCAUUGGACUAAAGCAGACAGUCAGCGUUCCACUCAAGCCCAUCAAACUCCCAACCAUUUCUGUGCACGCCAACCUGACUUGCCCCAGCCGCACCUGCGCCUGCUGGAGGGCUGCCCCUGGGCUGCACGUAGCCCGUGAGCAUGGUGGCCCCCAAGUGCCUGGGAUUUAGUGCCCCGGGGACAUCAGCUGACAAUGGCUGACAGGGCUGGGGGUGCAAAUACCCCGGAUCCCGUGCUCUCAGCUGGGAAGAUUCCGAGAUGGGUGUCUGCCGGAAGGAUUCCCUACUCGGCCACGCGGUCGCUGGCUGAAUGAUGCACAUUCCCUGUAUCGCUAAUGCAUCUCUUUCCUCUAUUCCUCGCCCCUUUCAGAUACACCGCCCUCAAAUCCUCAGCUGGGCGUCUGCUUCUGGGAACCCAAACGAGGACAAGGACCCUGAAGUUUGGGGACAGGGACCCAGGAGUCACGUUAUUCUCUUAGGACACCUGUGCAUUCGUUCAUCCAGCCCUUGAAUAUUGGCUGAGUAUCUACUCCGUGCCAGGGGGUGUGCUGACAAAUAUAGGAGAGAAAUAGGAAAAACCCGACAGUCUGAACAGCCAUAUAAAGAGAGAAGGGCUUUUUACAAGGAGAGUCUGGGAAGCCAAAGGCUGACUGUGGUAUUAUUUCACUGUAUAAAAACUAUGACUCACGGAGGAAAAGGGAACACGGAAUCCCAGAAUAUGAUGGGCACCCCCUUUAAAAUCUGAGAGAGGUAGUUUAGGGCAAAUUAAAGGAAUUCUUCAUCCAACAGUGAAUAGCAAAUUUAUUCACCUCCAGUUACCCCACAAUAAGUAAUACAAGCAGAAAAUGUAAAUAGAUUUUUAAAAAUAAAUGAAUGCUGGAGUUCA